Polypterus senegalus (gray bichir) is the source of this 1546-nucleotide long non-coding RNA. RefSeq lists it as uncharacterized. Lineage: Eukaryota; Metazoa; Chordata; Cladistia; Polypteriformes; Polypteridae. The record is from RefSeq and is a predicted model, not a curated record. The transcript is spliced from 2 exons.
AGACUCUCAUUGGUCAUGUAGAUGUCCAUGCCCCACUGAUAUCCCCGGAGAGGAUUUAUAACCAACAAGCUGAUCUAAUAGCUGCUGUUCGAGAAAUCAACCUGGAAAAAGCCUAUACAGAGAAUGAUGACCUGUGCAAAUAUGCUGAAGUAAAUGUAAUCGAGCCUUCCUUAAUAUCAUUAGCAAGGUGGGCUCAUGAAACUUCAGGACACAUGAGAGGAGAAAAACAUAUCAAUGGUGUCAUCAGCGAUGUAUACCAGUCACUAUUGAUAUUGUUAAACAAAUAGUGAACAAUUGCUCCACAUGUACAGAAGUAAAACAAUGGCCCCUACAGAAGAAGGCAACUGGUAAACUGAAGAGAGGAAUGGGACCAGGACAAAUUUGGCAGGUGGAUUACAUUGGGCCACUGCCACGAGAAAAUAAACUAUUAUAUGCUUUAACUGCAGUAGAUACUUAUUCUGGACUGUUACAAGCUUAUCCAUCAACAAGAGCUGACCAGAAAGCUACACUUAAUGGACUGAGCCAUGGAGUGCCCGAAGAAAUCCAAAGUGAUCAAGGAAGCCACUUUGCUGGGAGAGACGUACAAGAGUGGGCUCAAGGAGCUGGCAUUCAGUGGACUCUGCAUAUCCCUUAUCACCCACAGGCUGCAGGACUUAUUGAGAGAAUGAAUGGCCUGUUGAAAGAACAAGUUAAAAAACUAACUGGGCACAAUCAUCUUAAAGGCUGGACUAAAGUUUUAAAGCAAGCCUUAUUUAAUCUCAAUAAUCGUCCGUUGGCUGGGUCCACACUUUUAUGAGACAUCAAAAUGUCGGAGGAGAGCCACCUGUGUGUGCCCUCCGCCUGACAACAAUUAGUCCACUGGCAAACAAUGAAUUAACUCCCACAGGGUUAUUGGUUAGGGCACCUAAAUCACUUACAAUCAAGUUAAACUCCUCAGAAAGACUCAGCUUGGGAAUAACAGGUCAGUGGCCAAAGGAAUGGGAGAUUAUCCUCACGUGUGGAAUAAUCAGAACAGAACGGUUUAUGGACCGGAUGGAGCUGAUGCACCCCCUACAAUAAAGUCUUUUGGGCUGCUGAUAUGCCAGGAAUGGAAAAGUAUGUGACCUUGAACUUCACACUUACCAAGAACUGUACCAGGCAGUUAUGAGACAAGACACCUACGGCUCCAUUUUCCAUGAAACUGGAAUAUCCUGAACUGUUACCUUUCCCUGUGAUGACUUAUGAGGACACUGAAAUAACUGUGACUGUGCAUAAUAACGUAUCUGUCUGGUUGGCUAUGAUGAACUGUAAACCUGAUUCUAAUGGACUAUCAUGUUGGACAAUUGAAGGGGGCAACCGUUGACUGCAAUAUCAACACCCGAGAAUGGUGUAAUAUAUAUGUAUUUAAACAAGAAGCAACAACAAAUGUAAAGGUACCAGUAAUGUUAUGGGAAAUUCAUAAAACUAAGAGAGGGAAUGGAUAUCCAUCUGAUACAACAUUACUUAGACAAAUGAAAGGUUGUAAAAAAGCUAGGAUAGCACAUAAAAUAAUUACUGUAGCACUCAA